RNAcentral lists this ribosomal RNA (112 nucleotides) under uncultured eukaryote. RNAcentral's name for it is "partial small subunit ribosomal RNA". It matches the Rfam family "Eukaryotic small subunit ribosomal RNA", at positions 1676 to 1785 of the family's 1831-position model. The record is from RNAcentral.
UCGCUACUACCGAUUGAAUGGUUUAGUGAGAUCUCGGGACUGGCAUUUAUUGGUUGGCAACAACCGAUUUGAGCUGGGAACUUGCUCAAACUUGAUCAUUUAGAGGAAGUAA